RNAcentral lists this microRNA (21 nucleotides) under Mus musculus (house mouse). RNAcentral's name for it is "mmu-miR-7224-3p". Lineage: Eukaryota; Metazoa; Chordata; Mammalia; Rodentia; Muridae. The record is from miRBase by way of RNAcentral.
UCCACUGAGAGGACCACCCAC